Molecule: ribosomal RNA, 503 nt
Filed under: uncultured bacterium
Lineage: Bacteria
Description: bacterial SSU rRNA
Rfam family: Bacterial small subunit ribosomal RNA
Source: RNAcentral
GAACGCUGGCGGCGUGCCUAAUACAUGCAAGUCGAACGGUCUUUUCUAUGGAAGCUUGCUUCCACUGAGAAGAUAGUGGCGAACGGGUGAGUAACACGUGGGUAACCUGCCCAUAAGAGGGGGAUAACAUCCGGAAACGGGUGCUAAUACCGCAUAGUUUUCUUGAUCGCAUGAUCGGGAAAGGAAAGACGGCCUUUGUGCUGUCGCUUAUGGAUGGACCCGCGGCGUAUUAGUUAGUUGGUGAGGUAACGGCUCACCAAGACGAUGAUACGUAGCCGACCUGAGAGGGUGAUCGGCCACAUUGGGACUGAGACACGGCCCAAACUCCUACGGGAGGCAGCAGUAGGGAAUCUUCCGCAAUGGACGAAAGUCUGACGGAGCAACGCCGCGUGAGUGAAGAAGGUUUUCGGAUCGUAAAACUCUGUUGUCAGAGAAGAACAAGUUGGAGAGUAACUGCUCCAGCCUUGACGGUAUCUGACCAGAAAGCCACGGCUAACUACGUG